AUCUAAGUGUGAAGCCCACCUCAAGAUGAGAUUUCCCAUUUCUUUAAGAAAGUAAGAUCCCUGAGAGAUGAUCAGGUAGAUAGGUCAGGAGUGGAAGUACAGUGAUGUAUGGAGCGGACUGAUACUAAUCGAUCGAGGACUUAACCAAU
Molecule: ribosomal RNA, 149 nt
Filed under: Enterococcus faecium
Lineage: Bacteria; Bacillati; Bacillota; Bacilli; Lactobacillales; Enterococcaceae
Description: partial 23S ribosomal RNA
Rfam family: Bacterial large subunit ribosomal RNA
Source: RNAcentral